GAUGAAGAACGCAGCGAAAUGCGAUACUUGGUGUGAAUUGCAGAAUCCCGUGAACCAUCGAGUCUUUGAACGCAAGUUGCGCCUCAAGCCAUUAGGUUGAGGGCACGUCUGCCUGGGCGUCACAUAUCGUUGCCUGAUGCCAGUUUCCUCGUGAUGGGUGACUGUGCAGGGCGAAUGAUGGCUUCCCGUGAGCAUUGUUGCCUCAUGGUUGGUUGAAAAUUGAGUCCUUGGUAGGGAGCGCCGUGAUAGAUGGUGGUUGAGUGACGAACGAGACCCAAUCAUGUGAGACCCCUACCGAAUUUGGCCUUCAUGACCCACAUGCGUCUUUGGAACGCUCAUGACGAGACCUCAGGUCAGGCGGGGCUACCCGCUGAGUUUAAGCAUAUCAAUAAGCGGAAGA
This 400-nucleotide unclassified non-coding RNA is filed under the name soil metagenome. RNAcentral describes it as "partial contains 5.8S ribosomal RNA, internal transcribed spacer 2, and large subunit ribosomal RNA". The stretch from base 1 to 122 matches the Rfam family "5.8S ribosomal RNA", at positions 35 to 154 of the family's 154-position model. The record is from RNAcentral.